Long non-coding RNA from Neofelis nebulosa (Clouded leopard), 665 nucleotides. RefSeq lists it as uncharacterized. Lineage: Eukaryota; Metazoa; Chordata; Mammalia; Carnivora; Felidae. The record is from RefSeq and is a predicted model, not a curated record. The transcript is spliced from 3 exons.
CCUCGGCUUUCAAGACAGCUGAAGGAUGUUCGUGGGAAGAGGCCUGUGGGAUGAUAAAAAGUCGACAUUUGAUCUUUGUCCCCAGGCACUGGCCCCUGGGGCGGGUGAGGCUCUUUGGCUUGCUGCUGAGACGCCUGGGGGCUGCUCCCAGAGAGACCAGUGGAGGAGCAAAGUGAUGGGGAUUGACGCCCAGCCUCCGGUGAUGCGAUCAAUCGCGCUUCUAGAAUGCAGAAAAGCCCAUGGGUCGGGCUCCAGAGAAAAUACACACAAAGAAGAGAAGUGAAUUUGAAUCUCACCAGGCAGCUUUCGGGCUCCGGCUGCCUGGGCCAUGGCCAGUGGGAGCCUGUCCUGGACGCGUCCUUCCUUGUUGUCCGGGACUCCGGUGUUGAGAUCCUCCGCCCGUCCCCUCUGUCCUGGUGCCUCUGGCAGACGCGGAUUUGAGAAAGUACACGCUUCCGUGUGCCUACGUCUACCACCGCUCCCACCAGAGCCAUGAGUUCGCUGAUGCCUCGGCUCCACCGCGUCCACAGGCUCGUUUGGGUUUUCCGUGUCGGAGCCUGUGGCUCCUGUCUCCACAGCGCGGAUCCCCCCUGUGCUGCUCAGAGCCCUGCUGCCACAAUGCCGGUGUGACUGCCAGUCCGGGGGCGGGGGCGGGGGCACCUCGG